Long non-coding RNA from Pollicipes pollicipes, 890 nucleotides. RefSeq lists it as uncharacterized. The transcript has 3 exons. NCBI's taxonomy places the organism in Eukaryota, Metazoa, Arthropoda, Thecostraca, Pollicipedomorpha, Pollicipedidae. The record is from RefSeq and is a predicted model, not a curated record.
GGCUUUGACAAUGAGUGGUACAAGCCGGACACCGACGGCGCACCGCACAGCAGCCGCCUGUAUGUGGAGGGAGACAGUCUGGAUGAGAACGCCUUCACCGGCGACAGUCUGACCCUGUCGGCCCAGCAGCAGCAGGACCUGUUCACCCACCAGCACGGGUCGCCGUCCCGUUCCUCGGUCAACUUCAACAGGCCGGACGCCGGGCCCAAGACCACCAACGACCUGAAUCGGUACCAGCAGAACAUCCUCAGCCAGAGCGGCCGCCACGCCCCGCGCGGCAAGCACGUGGAGACCACCGAGUUGUGACGCACCCCGUGGCGGCCACGUGCCGGCCACGUGGCGGGCGCGACGCGGAGCGAGGACUCGACGGAUGCGUGAUGUGACGUCGCUCUUACGUCACGUAUCCGUGACGUCACGGGCUCGAGGCGUAUAAUGUAUCUUAGUGUCUCUUGCGUGUUUACAGACAUUUGAUCGCAUUCCCGUGUCCAACCGGUGUACUCAUGUGAAUGUACGUGACUAUGUCCCCAUGUGCCGAUGGCGUUGGCGCCGGCCAGGUCAGCCUACUUACCCACUGCGCUAACCGGGCGUGCACGGCCACAGUACGGUCGUCAACCGUGCUCGCCAACUGUACUCGACUGGCGUGGCAGCGAGAGCCGCACCGAUCGAGGGAAAUAUACCAGUGACGUCACUCGUUGGCGCCAGUGAUGUCACUGCCUCCGUUCGGCCGUGAGCGCCCUGUCUGUAAAUCGGUCUGACUGCAUGUCUGCGUGUAUGUGUGGGGGCCUGCUGGUGCCCGGUUGUGAGGAUGCCUCGUACGGCCAGCCGGGCCGCCGCUUCUCGGCGCACGGUCACUGCCGCCGCGCUUAAUGAGACCAACAUCGAAGCGAAUA